CCUACGGGCGGCUGCAGUGAGGAAUAUUGGUCAAUGGGCGAGAGCCUGAACCAGCCAAGUCGCGUGAAGGAUGACGGCCCUACGGGUUGUAAACUUCUUUUGUCAGGGAGCAAUUGGGUCCACGCGUGGGCUUAGCGAGAGUACCUGAAGAAAAAGCAUCGGCUAACUCCGUGCCAUCAGCCGCGGUAAUACGGAGGAUUCGACCUUUAUCCGGAUUUUUUGGGUUUAAGGGAUGCUUAGGCGGAGUAUCAAGUCAGCGGGAAACAUUCGGGGUCAAACCCCGUCGUGCCGUUGAAACUGAGGGUAUUGAGUAGGCGAGAGGUAUGCGGAAUGCGUGGUGUAGCGGUGAAAUGCAUAGAUAUCACGCAGAACUCCGAUUGCGAAGGCAGUAUACCGGCGUCCAACUGACGCUGAAGCACGAAAGCGUGGGUAUCGAACAGGAUUAGAUACCCCAGUAGUC
RNAcentral lists this ribosomal RNA (460 nucleotides) under uncultured bacterium. Its description in RNAcentral is "partial 16S ribosomal RNA". It matches the Rfam family "Bacterial small subunit ribosomal RNA", at positions 338 to 795 of the family's 1533-position model. The record is from RNAcentral.